RNAcentral lists this long non-coding RNA (286 nucleotides) under Heterocephalus glaber (naked mole-rat). RNAcentral's name for it is "lncRNA (ENSHGLG00000039375.1)". Lineage: Eukaryota; Metazoa; Chordata; Mammalia; Rodentia; Bathyergidae. The record is from RNAcentral.
GGUUUGUAGGGGCUGAGGCGGGGUUGAGUGAGGUAGUGACUAGGGAAUGGAGGAGCCGGUGAUGUCACUAGGUGGUAGGAGGUGAGCGAGUAUUAGGUUACUGUCUAGGUGGGAACAGGGGCAUGCUGGGAAGAAGGGUUUGUUCUUUGGUGGGAGCAACCAUCUUGGCAUGAUGUCACACAGGGGAGGGGGCAAGUCACCAUAGGAAGAGGGCAGCUACUAUACUUAAUAGCUGCUCAGGUGGUGGGAGACCUAUCAUAGCCCCUCUAUAUAUAAUCAUCCCUUG